AUUGAACGCUGGCGGCAUGCUUUACACAUGCAAGUCGAACGGCAGCGCGGGCUUCGGCCUGGCGGCGAGUGGCGAACGGGUGAGUAAUACAUCGGAACGUGCCCGGCAGCGGGGGAUAGCUCGGCGAAAUCCGGCUUGAUACCGCAUACGCCCAGCGGGUGAAAGCGGGGGAUCUUCGGACCUCGCGCUAUUGGAGCGGGCGGUGGCAGAUCAGUUAGUUGGUGGGGUAAAGGCCUACCAAGGCGACGAUCUGUAGCAGGUCUGAGAGGACGAACAGCCAGCUGGGGUGUGAGACACAGCACAGACUCCGACGGGAGGCAGCGGUGGGGAAUUUUGGACGAUGGGCGAAAGCCGAAUAUAGCAAUGCCGGGUGUGUGAUGAAGGCGUUAGGGUGGGAGAGUACUGUUGGCGGGAGCAAAAAAGAGUGUGCUCAGACGACAGUUUGAUGACGGUACCCGCAGAAGAAGCACCGGCUAACUACGUG
RNAcentral lists this ribosomal RNA (484 nucleotides) under uncultured bacterium. RNAcentral's name for it is "partial 16S ribosomal RNA". It matches the Rfam family "Bacterial small subunit ribosomal RNA", at positions 29 to 507 of the family's 1533-position model. The record is from RNAcentral.